UAAAUGCAAACGUUAGUGGACAUAAUAAUAAAAAGAUAAAACAAUGGGGGUAAAUACAUAAAUCUCCAAAAGAUUAGAGGUUUGAAAAUGGUUGUUUGCCCGUUCCAAUAAUAUUCCUCUCCCGAGCCCCUAUUCCGAGUGAGUCCAUACGGCGGAGUAGAUAGUGAGAUUGGAGAGGAUGACCAGAGGGAAGCAGAAGAUCGAAGCUCAGAGGAGAAAUGCAGAGAGGAAUCAGAAGCCAAAAGGCUCUCAGCUGGAGGCUAGAGCUGUCGCCCUCAAAGUGAGCUGCCCCAUCUGCAAGGUGCUGCUAGCAAAUGGUAAUCAGCUUGGUGAUCAUUAUGCCUCCAAACAUCCAAAAGAAAAGCCUCCUGAAUCAAGUUGAUCUAUUUCUCUCUUGUAAAAAUGCGAAAAUAAUAAAAAUAAAAAGAAAGAAAAAGCUUUCCGUGUGUGAUCAUUAACCAUUAAAUGUAUGUCAACUGAUGGAUGUGACUAUUUCAUUAUCUGGACUAAGUAAUUGACUAUGCAUUGUAUGGUUUUCCUCUGGA
Hevea brasiliensis (rubber tree) is the source of this 545-nucleotide long non-coding RNA. RefSeq lists it as uncharacterized. The transcript has 2 exons. NCBI's taxonomy places the organism in Eukaryota, Viridiplantae, Streptophyta, Magnoliopsida, Malpighiales, Euphorbiaceae. The record is from RefSeq and is a predicted model, not a curated record.